ACCCGGAAUUUAAACCACCGCUUUACCUUCCCAGCGGCACGCCCUCGCAGAGGCUGAGGAAAGAAGGCGUGUCCACACGGCUGGCCGGCCCUCCGCGCGUGCUCUCGCGAUACGCCCAACUCUCGCGCUACUUCCUCGUUUCCGGCAGCCUUAGCGCACAGCGGGGAAAACCUCUCCCUCCGCCUGUGCGGACUCCGCGGGAAGAUGGCGGCGCCCGAGCAGCCGCUGCCCAGAGGCGGCCCGAGCUCCUCCUCGCUGUCUCCGUCCCGAGGCGACCGAACCCUCCUAGUCAGGCACCUACCGGCCGAGCUGACCGCCGAGGAGAAAGAGGAUCUGCUGAAGUACUUCGGGGCGCAGUCGGUGCGCGUGCUGUCGGACAAGGGGCGGCUGAAACAUACAGCAUUUGCUACUUUCCCCAAUGAAAAAGCAGCAAUAAAGGCAUUGACAAGGCUCCAUCAGUUGAAACUUCUAGGUCAUACCUUAGUUGUUGAAUUUGCAAAAGAGCAAGAUGGAGUUCAUUCCCCAUGUCCCACUGCAAGCACAGACAGGAAGAGAAGGUCUGAUGACAUUAUGGAAGAUGAUAAGAAAGAGCUUGAUUUUUUAACAGUAGAUAAUGGAAUUGCACCAAACCAUGGGCUGACUUUUCCUCUAAAUUCAUGCCUCAAAUAUAUGUACCCACCACCUUCAAGCACAAUCCUAGCAAAUAUAGUAAACGCUCUUGCAAGUGUGCCCAAGUUCUAUGUACAGGUACUUCAUCUUAUGAAUAAAAUGAAUUUGCCAACUCCAUUUGGACCAAUCACUGCACGACCACCUAUGUAUGAAGACUAUAUGCCUUUGCAUGCACCGCUUCCCCCAACUUCUCCUCGGCCACCCGAGGAGCCACCCUUGCCUGAGGAGGAUGAGGAAUUAUCUAGUCAAGAAUCAGAGUACGAGAGCAGUGAUGAUGAGGGCCGACAGAGAAUGACCAAACUGAUGGAGCUAGCAAAUCUGCAGCCCAAAAGACCCAAAACAGUAAAGCAGCGCCAAGUGAGGAAAAAGCGAAAAAUAAAAGAUAUGCUGAAUAUCCCUUCAUCUGCAUCACACAGCAAUUCACAUCCUGUGCUAUUACCUUCGGAUGUAUUUGACCAACCACAACCUGUAGGUAAUAAGAAAAUUGAAUUCCAUAUAUCUACCAACAUGGCAACAGCAUUUAAGAAAGAUUUGGAAAAGGAACAAAAUGAUAAGGAAAAAAAUUCUGAUUUACUGGCCACUGAGGUUGAUUCUUCGAAUAUAGGAUUUGGAAAAAUCUUCCCCAAGCCUAAUUUGAACAUCACAGAAGAGAUUAAUGAAGACUCUGAUGAAAUGCCCUCAGAAUGUAUUUCUAGAAGGGAGUUGGAAAAGGGUAGAGUUUCAAGAGAAGAAAUGGGAAAACUUUCAGUUUUCAGAAGUUAUGAUCCUGGCGAACCAAACUGUAGAAUUUAUGUAAAGAAUUUAGCUAGACGUGUUCAAGAAAAGGACCUUAAGUUUAUCUUUGGAAGAUAUGUUGAUUUCUCAUCAGAAGCACAGCGAAUCAUGUUCGACAUACGCCUGAUGAAAGAAGGGCGCAUGAAAGGACAAGCCUUCAUUGGACUUCCAAAUGAAAAGGCAGCAGCAAAAGCCUUAAGAGAAGCUAAUGGCUACAUUCUUUUUGGAAAGCCCAUGGUUGUUCAAUUUGCUCGAUCUGCUAGACCAAAACAGGAUUCUAAAGAAGGGAAAAGAAAAUAAGAUUGUGUAUAGAAGCGCCCUGCGUAAACACUGCUGUAAAACUGUCAUGCAAGUGUAUCCUUUCUUGUCGUAUCCUUUUGUGGGGCAGUGCUCUUUGUGUUUUCUUUUUUCUAGUCAUGCUUUGUCCCUUUUCUGAAAUCCAUUGAUCCAGAUUAAACUGAGAUUUUUUUUUUAAAACAUUCUAGUGAAGUAUUUCUAAAAUUGUGUAGCCGGAGGAAAUAUUUUAUGUGUAUUUUAGAUUAAUUGUUGAAUAUUUUUAUGUCAUCAUUUAGGGGAUAUGCUUUCCAAGGAAAGUUAGUGAAUCAGGUCACUUAGUGUAUACAUUUGUUUAUCACAAAAUAUUGUCUUGUUUCUUCUGUUUGUAUGUUUCCUAAGAAUAACUCAGUGACAGGGUCUUUACUUCAUGCCAUAUCUGAUUUAGGUGUUACCUGCAUAAUAUGUUCUAAACCCUAAUUGGAACAGGACUUUUUUCUUUUAAGCAGACAUGUUGAAAAAUUGAGAUAAUUGGAUUUCUGUGAUUUCACAUCUGAGGUCCAAAGUGUCCUUGAAAGGUCCCUUUUGAAUGUGUCUCCUUCAAGUACUAUCCAUCCAGCUUUGAGGAGGACUAAUUGACCAUCUGAACAAUGGAACUGUGCGUAACUACCUUAAACAUAUGCUUACAGUUUAAAUCAGCUUUUAGGGAUAAAUGUUUUAAUGGACUGUUGCAUAUAUAUAAUAAAUUAUUUUCACCUUGA
Jaculus jaculus (lesser Egyptian jerboa) is the source of this 2477-nucleotide RNA transcript. It is a transcript of the gene named RNA binding region (RNP1, RRM) containing 3, with no coding region annotated. NCBI's taxonomy places the organism in Eukaryota, Metazoa, Chordata, Mammalia, Rodentia, Dipodidae. The record is from RefSeq and is a predicted model, not a curated record. The transcript has 16 exons.